CACUUUCCGAUUGUUUUUUUUUGUUGGAGUUCGUUAUUUUUGUAGUUUUAAUUUUUAGAUGAACAAUUGAUGCAAAAUCUCAUUACGGCCACUUCUGACUGAAGCAGAUUAAUCUUACGGCUUUGAACGAUCAUUAUGUUUUGUCAACAACAAAUUUAGAAUGAAUUACCAUACCAAUGAUGUUUCAUCUCAGCACAUGAGCUAAUUCAACUAACUAUUGACAAGAUAUAAAGUAUAUAUUAAACCGAAAUCAACUGGCUCAAUACAAGAAUACAAAUACAGAGAAAAUUUCAAAAUAACUAAACAAC
This 308-nucleotide long non-coding RNA is filed under the name Mytilus galloprovincialis (Mediterranean mussel). The record is from RNAcentral. Lineage: Eukaryota; Metazoa; Mollusca; Bivalvia; Mytilida; Mytilidae.